GACGAACGCUGGCGGCGUGCUUAACACAUGCAAGUCGAACGGAAAGGCCCUGCUUUUGUGGGGUGCUCGAGUGGCGAACGGGUGAGUAACACGUGAGUAACCUGCCCUUGACUUUGGGAUAACUUCAGGAAACUGGGGCUAAUACCGGAUAGGAUCUCCUGCUGCAUGGUGGGGGUUGGAAAGUUCCGGCGGUUGGGGAUGGACUCGCGGCUUAUCAGCUUGUUGGUGGGGUAGUGGCUUACCAAGGCUGUGACGGGUAGCCGGCCUGAGAGGGUGGCCGGCCACAUUGGGACUGAGAUACGGACCAGACUCCUACAGGAGGCAACAGUGGGGAAUAUUACACAAUGGGCGGAAGCCUGAUGCAGCAACGCCGCGUGCGGGAUGACGGCCUUCGGGUUGUAAACCGCUUUCGCCUGUGACGAAGCGUGAGUGACGGUAAUGAGUAAAGAAGCACCGGCUAACUACGUG
RNAcentral lists this ribosomal RNA (468 nucleotides) under uncultured bacterium. RNAcentral's name for it is "partial 16S ribosomal RNA". It matches the Rfam family "Bacterial small subunit ribosomal RNA", at positions 28 to 507 of the family's 1533-position model. The record is from RNAcentral.